Non-coding RNA from Mycoemilia scoparia, 73 nucleotides. The record is from the annotation of a GenBank genome assembly. Lineage: Eukaryota; Fungi; Kickxellomycota; Kickxellomycetes; Kickxellales; Kickxellaceae.
GGGAUCUUAGCUCAGCUGGGAGAGCGUGAGACUGAAGUUCUUAAGGUCCGGUGUUCGAUCCACCGAGAUCCCA